Molecule: transfer RNA, 74 nt
Filed under: Bacteroidota bacterium
Lineage: Bacteria; Pseudomonadati; Bacteroidota
Also listed under: 2 other names
Description: Bacteroidetes bacterium tRNA-Arg
Rfam family: tRNA
About the family: Transfer RNA (tRNA) molecules are approximately 80 nucleotides in length. Their secondary structure includes four short double-helical elements and three loops (D, anti-codon, and T loops).
Source: RNAcentral
GGCUCCGUAGCUUAAUUGGAUAGAGCAUCUGACUACGGAUCAGAAGGUUUCAAGUUCGAGUCUUGACGGAGUCA